RNAcentral lists this ribosomal RNA (492 nucleotides) under uncultured bacterium. RNAcentral describes it as "partial 16S ribosomal RNA". It matches the Rfam family "Bacterial small subunit ribosomal RNA", at positions 29 to 507 of the family's 1533-position model. The record is from RNAcentral.
AGUGAACGCUGGCGGUAGGCCUAACACAUGCAAGUCGAACGGCAGCACAGUAAGAGCUUGCUCUUACGGGUGGCGAGUGGCGGACGGGUGAGGAAUACAUCGGAAUCUACUUUUUCGUGGGGGAUAACGUAGGGAAACUUACGCUAAUACCGAAUACGACCUACGGGUGAAAUCAGGGGAUCUUCGGACCUUGCGCGAUUGAAUGAGCCGAUGUCGGAUUAGCUAGUUGGCGGGGUAAAGGCCCACCAAGGCGACGAUCCGUAGCUGGUCUGAGAGGAUGAUCAGCCACACUGGAACUGAGACACGGUCCAGACUCCUACGGGAGGCAGCAGUGGGGAAUAUUGGACAAUGGGCGCAAGCCUGAUCCAGCCAUACCGCGUGGGUGAAGAAGGCCUUCGGGUUGUAAAGCCCUUUUGUUAGGAAAGAAAAGCAGCAGGUUAAUACCCCGCUGUUCUGACGGUACCCAAAGAAUAAGCACCGGCUAACUUCGUG